UGGGGAAUAUUGCGCAAUGGGGGAAACCCUGACGCAGCGACGCCGCGUGUGGGAUGAAGGUCUUCGGAUUGUAAACCACUGUCGCGAGGGACGAAGCUCUGACGGUACCUCGAAAGGAAGCACCGGCUAACUCUGUGCCAGCAGCCGCGGUAAUACAGAGGGUGCGAGCGUUGUCCGGAAUCACUGGGCGUAAAGGGCGCGUAGGCGGCCCGGUAAGUAGGGGGUGAAAUCUCAUGGCUCAACUGUGAGGCUGCCUUCUAGACUGCCAGGCUUGAGCACAGUAGAGGCGAGUGGAAUUCCCGGUGUAGCGGUGGAAUGCGUAGAGAUCGGGAAGAACAUCGGUGGCGAAGGCGGCUCGCUGGGCUGUUGCUGACGCUGAGGCGCGAAAGCGUGGGGAGCAAACAGGAUUAGAUACCCCCGUAGUCCCUGAGCGGGCUGGCAAGGCGCAU
This 449-nucleotide ribosomal RNA is filed under the name uncultured bacterium. RNAcentral's name for it is "bacterial SSU rRNA". It matches the Rfam family "Bacterial small subunit ribosomal RNA", at positions 355 to 825 of the family's 1533-position model. The record is from RNAcentral.